UACGGGGGGGGCAAGCGUUGUUCGGAAUUACUGGGCGUAAAGGGCUCGUAGGUGGCCAACUAAGUCAGACGUGAAAUCCCUCGGCUUAACCGGGGAACUGCGUCUGAUACUGGAUGGCUUGGAUUUGGGAGAGGGAUGCGGAAUUCCAGGUGUAGCGGUGAAAUGCGUAGAUAUCUGGAGGAACACCGGUGGCGAAGGCGGCAUCCUGGACCAACAUUGACGCUGAGGAGCGAAAGCCAGGGGAGCAAACGGG
This 253-nucleotide ribosomal RNA is filed under the name uncultured bacterium. RNAcentral describes it as "partial 16S ribosomal RNA". It matches the Rfam family "Bacterial small subunit ribosomal RNA", at positions 524 to 776 of the family's 1533-position model. The record is from RNAcentral.